AUUGAACGCUGGCGGCAUGCCUUACACAUGCAAGACGAACGGCAGCACGGGGCAACCUGGUGGCGAGUGGCGAACGGGUGAGUAAUGCAUCGGAACGUGCCAUUGAGUGGGGGAUAACGUAGCGAAAGUUGCGCUAAUACCGCAUAUUCUGUGAGCAGGAAAGCAGGGGACCGCAAGGCCUUGCGCUCUUUGAGCGGCCGAUGUCAGAUUAGCUAGUUGGUGAGGUAACGGCUUACCAAGGCGACGAUCUGUAGCGGGUCUGAGAGGAUGAUCCGCCACACUGGAACUGAGACACGGUCCAGACUCCUACGGGAGGCAGCAGUGGGGAAUUUUGGACAAUGGGCGCAAGCCUGAUCCAGCCAUGCCGCGUGAGUGAAGAAGGCCUGGUGUAAG
RNAcentral lists this ribosomal RNA (393 nucleotides) under uncultured bacterium. Its description in RNAcentral is "bacterial SSU rRNA". It matches the Rfam family "Bacterial small subunit ribosomal RNA", at positions 30 to 429 of the family's 1533-position model. The record is from RNAcentral.